GUUACUGUAGAAGUCCUGCUGCUAGAGAAGCUCGGUCAUUGACGAAGUCCGAAAGAAGUUCGAGAUAAAGUCGAUCGUGGCUGGAAGAAGUCUGGAAGAGAUUUGGAGAGUAGUCAAUCACUAUAGAAAAUCGGCAGAUAGUGAAGUUCAGAGAGCAUUUGGAGCAGUCCGAUAGAUGAAUGGAGGAGCUCAUUAUUGGA
RNAcentral lists this long non-coding RNA (200 nucleotides) under Elaeis guineensis (African oil palm). RNAcentral's name for it is "long non-coding RNA (EGUI_LNC045658)". The record is from RNAcentral. Lineage: Eukaryota; Viridiplantae; Streptophyta; Magnoliopsida; Arecales; Arecaceae.